CAGCCGCCGCGGUAAUACGUAGGGUGCAAGCGUUAAUCGGAAUUACUGGGCGUAAAGCGUGCGCAGGCGGUUAUAUAAGACAGAUGUGAAAUCCCCGGGCUCAACCUGGGAACUGCAUUUGUGACUGUAUAGCUAGAGUACGGCAGAGGGGGAUGGAAUUCCGCGUGUAGCAGUGAAAUGCGUAGAUAUGCGGAGGAACACCGAUGGCGAAGGCAAUCCCCUGGGCCUGUACUGACGCUCAUGCACGAAAGCGUGGGGAGCAAACAGGAUUAGAUACCCGAGUAGUCCCUGUUCUCUUAUA
RNAcentral lists this ribosomal RNA (301 nucleotides) under uncultured bacterium. Its description in RNAcentral is "partial 16S ribosomal RNA". It matches the Rfam family "Bacterial small subunit ribosomal RNA", at positions 509 to 809 of the family's 1533-position model. The record is from RNAcentral.